GACUCUCGGCAACGGAUAUCUCGGCUCUCGCAUCGAUGAAGAACGUAGCGAAAUGCGAUACUUGGGGGGAAUUGCAGAAUCCCGCGAAUCAUCGAGUCUUUGAACGCAAGUUGCGCCUUCCGGGUUAUCGCCGCAGGGCACCGCCCGGUACGAUCGCCC
Molecule: ribosomal RNA, 159 nt
Organism: Juglans regia (Persian walnut)
Lineage: Eukaryota; Viridiplantae; Streptophyta; Magnoliopsida; Fagales; Juglandaceae
Product: 5.8S ribosomal RNA
Exons: 1
Source: RefSeq, a predicted model, not a curated record